This is an RNA transcript of Rhinopithecus roxellana (golden snub-nosed monkey), 774 nucleotides long. RefSeq lists it as uncharacterized. NCBI's taxonomy places the organism in Eukaryota, Metazoa, Chordata, Mammalia, Primates, Cercopithecidae. The transcript has 3 exons. The record is from RefSeq and is a predicted model, not a curated record.
ACGGUGGUGGUGACGGUGCUGGGAGACCCCGCGUGCCCUUUCCCCUUGAGAUGUAAACCGGGGACGGAGAAGGGGCUGAGGGGAGAAAGGAUAUGGCCUCCCUCACGAGUCCAUGACCAGUGACUGUGGCCCGACCCGAAAACGACCCUCUUCUCAAAAGGAACCAUCACCGCCCCGAGCGCGCGAACAGAGACCGGUCGGAGGCGAGAAUUGGUCUUUUCAGGGCACAGUUCAGCUCCUCUGUGGAUGCGUCCCCAGAUCGCAGGAUUUCCAAGAAAUCGAGCCUGUCCCUUGUGCACUUGGGAAUAAUUCCCCAAGACAGCACUUCGGGAUUCCGGGUUAUCCGGAGGCUGCCCGGGACUUUUCCAGCUCUCCAGCCCCAGGUCUCCUGACAUUGUGUUUCAGGCUGCGGGCUAAGCCAGACAGUGUUUGCCUCCCGUUCUUUCCACCGAGGGAAGCGAACGCCACCCCCACCCGCCUUUGCCUCCGAGUCUCCCUCGCUGGCAGAAGGGAAGCCGACCUGGUCCCGGGAGGAAGAUGGCGCAGCGAAUUCGAAUUUUAGAACUGGAUCUUUGUCUCCUGGAUGCUCUUAGGAGACUCACCAAGCAGCAACCCCUGAUAUUGCAACUGGACCCCUCGACCUGGAUGAAUGUAUUCUUUUCAGCAACCAUAUGCUCCCUCCUGUUACCAGCCUAUAUCCAACAUGGGAGCACAGGCUAAUCCUGCAGUUGGCCAGCCUCUUGUCCUCUGGAUAUCCUGGGAGUGAAUCCCAAU